Molecule: long non-coding RNA, 215 nt
Filed under: Elaeis guineensis (African oil palm)
Lineage: Eukaryota; Viridiplantae; Streptophyta; Magnoliopsida; Arecales; Arecaceae
Description: long non-coding RNA (EGUI_LNC080169)
Source: RNAcentral
GGGGCAUUCGCGAUCAUUAUGGCACCGGAUCCCAGGGUCUAUUUAAACCCAUCCCUCUGCCUUUAGGGGCCCUAUUCCGCUCGAGAGUUCUAUCGGUAUCCACCCUUACUUCGAGAGUCCCAAUUCUCUUGGCGUCUUCUUGGGCCAUAGGCAUCCUUCGAGUCGUCCCUAUCCUUGCCCCUUCGCGUCCUUCAGAGCGAUCUAGGUUAGUCCCA